This 836-nucleotide ribosomal RNA is filed under the name Varicosporellopsis aquatilis. RNAcentral's name for it is "eukaryotic LSU rRNA". It matches the Rfam family "Eukaryotic large subunit ribosomal RNA", at positions 70 to 938 of the family's 3401-position model. Lineage: Eukaryota; Fungi; Ascomycota; Sordariomycetes; Hypocreales; Nectriaceae. The record is from RNAcentral.
AGGGAUUGCCUCAGUAACGGCGAGUGAAGCGGCAACAGCUCAAAUUUGAAAUCUGGCCUCUGGCCCGAGUUGUAAUUUGUAGAGGAUGCUUUUGGUGAGGUGCCUUCCGAGUUCCCUGGAACGGGACGCCAUAGAGGGUGAGAGCCCCGUCUGGUCGGACACCGAUCCUCUGUAAAGCUCCUUCGACGAGUCGAGUAGUUUGGGAAUGCUGCUCUAAAUGGGAGGUAUAUGUCUUCUAAAGCUAAAUACCGGCCAGAGACCGAUAGCGCACAAGUAGAGUGAUCGAAAGAUGAAAAGCACUUUGAAAAGAGGGUUAAACAGUACGUGAAAUUGUUGAAAGGGAAGCGCUUGUGACCAGACUUGGGCAUGGUCAAUCAUCCAGUGUUCUUCACUGGUGCACUUGGCCGGCCUAGGCCAGCAUCAGUUCGGCGCGGGGGACAAAGGCUUCGGGAAUGUGGCUCCCCCGGGAGUGUUAUAGCCCGUCGCGUAAUACCCUGCGCUGGACUGAGGUUCGCGCAUCUGCAUGGAUGCUGGCGUAAUGGUCAUCAGCGACCCGUCUUGAAACACGGACCAAGGAGUCGUCUUCGUAUGCGAGUGUUCGGGUGUCAAACCCCUACGCGGAAUGAAAGUGAACGCAGGUGAGAGCUUCGGCGCAUCAUCGACCGAUCCUGAUGUUCUCGGAAGGAUUUGAGUAAGAGCAUACGGGGCCGGACCCGAAAGAAGGUGAACUAUGCCUGUAUAGGGUGAAGCCAGAGGAAACUCUGGUGGAGGCUCGCAGCGGUUCUGACGUGCAAAUCGAUCGUCAAAUAUGGGCAUGGGGGCGAAAGACUAAUCGA